GAUGAAGAACGCAGCGAAAUGCGAUAAGUAGUGUGAAUUGCAGAAUUCCGUGAAUCAUCGAAUCUUUGAACGCACAUUGCGCCCUUUGGUAUUCCUUAGGGCAUGCCUGUUCGAGCGUCAUUUGUACCUUCAAGCUUUGCUUGGUGUUGGGUGUUUGUCUCGCCUUUGCGUGUAGACUCGCCUUAAAAUAAUUGGCAGCCGGCGUAUUGAUUUCGGAGCGCAGUACAUCUCGCGCUUUGCACUCAUAACGACAGCGUCCAAAAGUACAUUUUACACUCUUGACCUCGGAUCAGGUAGGGAUACCCGCUGAACUUAAGCAUAUCAAUAAGCGGAGGA
Molecule: unclassified non-coding RNA, 336 nt
Filed under: soil metagenome
Description: partial contains 5.8S ribosomal RNA, internal transcribed spacer 2, and large subunit ribosomal RNA
Rfam family: 5.8S ribosomal RNA (bases 1-120)
Source: RNAcentral